RNAcentral lists this ribosomal RNA (743 nucleotides) under Salmonella enterica subsp. enterica serovar Kentucky. RNAcentral describes it as "bacterial LSU rRNA". It matches the Rfam family "Bacterial large subunit ribosomal RNA", at positions 1 to 676 of the family's 2925-position model. Lineage: Bacteria; Pseudomonadati; Pseudomonadota; Gammaproteobacteria; Enterobacterales; Enterobacteriaceae. The record is from RNAcentral.
GGGUUGUGAGGUUAAGCGACUAAGCGUACACGGUGGAUGCCCUGGCAGUCAGAGGCGAUGAAGGACGUGCUAAUCUGCGAUAAGCGCCGGUAAGGUGAUAUGAACCGUUAUAACCGGCGAUUUCCGAAUGGGGAAACCCAGUGUGACUCGUCACACUAUCAUUAACUGAAUCCAUAGGUUAAUGAGGCGAACCGGGGGAACUGAAACAUCUAAGUACCCCGAGGAAAAGAAAUCAACCGAGAUUCCCCCAGUAGCGGCGAGCGAACGGGGAGGAGCCCAGAGCCUGAAUCAGCAUGUGUGUUAGUGGAAGCGUCUGGAAAGGCGCGCGAUACAGGGUGACAGCCCCGUACACAAAAGCGCAUGUGCUGUGAGCUCGAUGAGUAGGGCGGGACACGUGGUAUCCUGUCUGAAUAUGGGGGGACCAUCCUCCAAGGCUAAAUACUCCUGACUGACCGAUAGUGAACCAGUACCGUGAGGGAAAGGCGAAAAGAACCCCGGCGAGGGGAGUGAAAAAGAACCUGAAACCGUGUACGUACAAGCAGUGGGAGCCCCACCACUAAGCCAGUGGUGAACUCCACAUACGCAUCCUUUGCUGAAGGUGCGGUUAACGGAGCGCAAGCGACGUUCAACCUCAAAAGAAGCAGAGGGGGCUUUGGGGUGGGGUGACUGCGUACCUUUUGUAUAAUGGGUCAGCGACUUAUAUUCUGUAGCAAGGUUAACCGCAUAGGGGAGCCGGAGGGAAA